GUAAGGGAUAUUGGGCAAUGGUCGGAAGACUGACCCAGCCAUGCCGCGUGAGGGAAUGAGGCCCUACGGGUCGUGAACCUCUUUUAUUCGGGGACAAGGGCUUCCACGAGAUGGGAGCUUGAGGGUACCGAAGGAAUAAGCGUCGGCUAACUCCGUGCCAGCAGCCGCGGUAAUACGGAGGACGCGAGCGUUAUCCGGAUUCAUUGGGUUUAAAGGGUGCGCAGGCGGCCUGUCAAGUCAGCGGUGAAAGCCCGGGUCCCAACCCCGGAAGUGCCGUUGAUACUGACGGGCUUGAAUGCGGUCGAGGCGGGCGGAACGUGGCGUGUAGCGGUGAAAUGCGUAGAUAUGCCACAGAACGCCGAUAGCGAAGGCAGCUCGCCAGGCCUGCAUUGACGCUCGGGCACGAAAGCGUGGGGAUCGAACAGGAUUAGAUACCCUAGUAGUCC
This 446-nucleotide ribosomal RNA is filed under the name uncultured bacterium. Its description in RNAcentral is "bacterial SSU rRNA". It matches the Rfam family "Bacterial small subunit ribosomal RNA", at positions 354 to 796 of the family's 1533-position model. The record is from RNAcentral.